Molecule: long non-coding RNA, 502 nt
Filed under: Homo sapiens (human)
Lineage: Eukaryota; Metazoa; Chordata; Mammalia; Primates; Hominidae
Description: HSALNT0381404
Source: RNAcentral
CUUCUGCUCUUCUGCCCUGUGAGGAUGCAGCAAGAAAACCCUCACCAGAUGCCAGUGCCUUGAUCUUGGACUUCCCAGCCCCCAGAGCUGACUAGAUCGCUAGCUGGCCCUUUGAUUUAACUCUUCAUCUACCAUAUUGUGAAGAAACCAUGGAUUUUAGCAAUGAAAUUUUAUUGGGAUGAAUGACCAAAUGUAGGGGCUUAUAGAAUCAUCAAGCCGGAAAGAACCACAAGAGGUCAACACAGUUCACCUCCUUGCUUCUGGGACGGACUCCAUCAAAAGCGCACAGACAAAUUGGUGUCUGCUUCUAUUCACAGAGGGCUCAAGAAAGUGAUGCCACAUCUACCUGGAGUUGUUGGUCAUGUAAACUCUUCCUAAGCAGAUAGUUCUGGGAAUGACAUAGUCUGAGGAAUCAUAUAUUCUCAUUUGAUAAUUUUCAUAUUAGCCUUGUAUGAGUGUCUGAUUAUCAAAUAAUUGAGAAAUAAAACAUAUUUGAAACUAA